This 492-nucleotide ribosomal RNA is filed under the name uncultured bacterium. RNAcentral's name for it is "partial 16S ribosomal RNA". It matches the Rfam family "Bacterial small subunit ribosomal RNA", at positions 28 to 507 of the family's 1533-position model. The record is from RNAcentral.
GAUGAACGCUAGCUACAGGCUUAACACAUGCAAGUCGAGGGGAAACGGCAUUAAGUGCUUGCACUUUUUGGACGUCGACCGGCGCACGGGUGAGUAACGCGUAUCCAACCUUCCCAUGACUAAGGGAUAACCUGCCGAAAGGCAGACUAAUACCUUAUGGUCUUCACUGACGGCAUCAGAUGUGAAGUAAAGAUUUAUCGGUUAUGGAUGGGGAUGCGUCUGAUUAGCUUGUUGGCGGGGUAACGGCCCACCAAGGCAACGAUCAGUAGGGGUUCUGAGAGGAAGGUCCCCCACAUUGGAACUGAGACACGGUCCAAACUCCUACUGGAGGCAGCAGUGAGGAAUAUUGGUCAAUGGGCGAGAGCCUGAACCAGCCAAGUAGCGUGCAGGAUGACGGCCCUAUGGGUUGUAAACUGCUUUUGUAUGGGGAUAAAGUCAAUCACGUGUGAUUGUUUGCAGGUACCAUACGAAUAAGGACCGGCUAAUUCCGUG